RNAcentral lists this ribosomal RNA (253 nucleotides) under uncultured bacterium. Its description in RNAcentral is "partial 16S ribosomal RNA". It matches the Rfam family "Bacterial small subunit ribosomal RNA", at positions 524 to 776 of the family's 1533-position model. The record is from RNAcentral.
UACGUAGGGGGCAAGCGUUAUCCGGAUUUACUGGGUGUAGAGGGAGCGUAGACGGCAUGGCAAGUCAGAUGUGAAAGCCCGGGGCUCAACCCCGGGACUGCAUUUGAAACUGUCAGGCUGGAGUGCAGGAGAGGUAAGCGGAAUUCCUAGUGUAGCGGUGAAAUGCGUAGAUAUUAGGAGGAACACCAGUGGCGAAGGCGGCUUACUGGACUGUAACUGACGUUGAGGCUCGAAAGCGUGGGGAGCAAACAGG